AAAGGUGAAAAGCACCCCGACAAGGGGAGUGAAAUAGUACCUGAAACUGGAUGCCUACAAACAGUGGGAGGCCGCAAGGCUGACCGCGUACCUUUUGUAUAAUGGGUCAACGACUUAGUGUAGCAAGCAAGCUUAAGCCGAUAGGUGUAGGCGCAGCGAAAGCGAGUCUUAAUAGGGCGAAUAGUUUGUUGCAUUAGACCCGAAACCAAGUGAUCUAGCCAUGAGCAGGUUGAAGGUUGAGUAACAUCAACUGGAGGACCGAACCCACUAACGUUGAAAAGUUAGGGGAUGACCUGUGGCUGGGGGUGAAAGGCCAAUCAAACCGGGAGAUAGCUGGUUCUCCCCGAAAGCUAUUUAGGUAGCGCCUCGGACGAAUACCAUUGGGGGUAGAGCACUGUUUGGGCUAGGGGGUCAUCCCGACUUACCAACCCUUUGCAAACUCCGAA
Molecule: ribosomal RNA, 446 nt
Filed under: Striatella unipunctata
Lineage: Eukaryota; Bacillariophyta; Striatellaphyceae; Striatellales; Striatellaceae
Description: partial Bacterial large subunit ribosomal RNA
Rfam family: Bacterial large subunit ribosomal RNA
Source: RNAcentral